Dermochelys coriacea (leatherback sea turtle) is the source of this 2193-nucleotide RNA transcript. It is a transcript of the gene named single-pass membrane protein with coiled-coil domains 4, with no coding region annotated. The transcript has 3 exons. Lineage: Eukaryota; Metazoa; Chordata; Testudines; Dermochelyidae. The record is from RefSeq and is a predicted model, not a curated record.
CCUCUCCCUAUGCAAGAUUGCCACAGUUCAGUUCCCUCCGUUGAAACAGGAGGGAGGUGCAGGCCGGGCAUUUUCUGUGAAAGUCUUUCAACUUCGGGAAAUUCCCUCUCCCCUGGGCCUAGCAGCGCCGGGGUUUGUGAAGCAACUUUCUAGACAUGCCGUAAAGCUCAUCUUGCAUCGCAUGCGUUGGGGAAGGGCAGGGGCUGAAUUUCUUGGCAGGGUUUGGCGCUGGGGGUUUGUGUGACCACAGUCUAAAGGAAUAAGAGUAGAUGCCGGAACGGACCAUGUCCCUGGAGAGCAGCCUCCAGGGUGCCGCUUUGUCCUGCGGACGGAGCCUGUUGGCGGUUUCCCUGAGUCUGCCAAGCUCGGCUUCGGGCUCCCACGCUCGGGAGGAGGCCGGGCAGGAUCGGGGAGGGCAGGCUGGAGGCCGGGGCAGCGGGUCCAGCCUGCGUUCAGCAGAGGGCGCCCCGCGUUCCGCUGGAGCGGAGCCGGGAGGAGCCUCCCUGCGCCGCUCGCCUCGGCGCGGCCGGUUCGCAGCUGGUGCUGCCACGUCCUCUGGGCUGAGCCGGGACUCGGGCGCGGCGGCCGGAGCCCCACGUGCGCGGGGAGCCGGGACCCGGGAAGCUGCUGCUGGUGCCCGGCGCUGGGAAGUUGGAGGCGGCAGAGCCCGGACCCCUGGCGGCAAAGACAACUCCAAGUGGAUGUAUUAGACAUUUCUUGUCCUGAAUAGUUGCUGUAUGCUUGCAGUUGCCUCUUAAAGAAAGAGCUGGCUGCAUUUUGGUGGUGGAUAAGUGCAAGAGCGUCUGCUGUCAAAAUUCGGCGUCACUUAUUUGGUUGAAGGCCAGUGGAAAAUAAUCCAGUAGAGCCACUAGCUCAGGGACCAUCUGUGAAGCCAUUCUCUGACAUUUGGGUGCUUUAACAUCAUAUCUUAAUAAAUAAAUCCUUGAAACAUUAGGGAGCUAAGAAACAGCAUAAAGGUUUUAAGGCUCUGAAUUCUUGUCUGGUUUUACUUCUUACUUAUCCAGUUAUUUUCUGCUCCUAUUGUCUAGAAUUUCUCUGGCAUUUCUCUGGAACAUGUUUGCCCUUUGUUUUAAUAUCCCUUUCUGACUAUGCAUUUCGUAUACCUGAGCUUAGUUGCUGCUCGUUCUCUAAUUCUGUGACAGCCUUGUCCUCUUCAUAUUCUUCACGAUUAAGAAAAGUUUCCCUGGAUCUGCUAUCAUCCCUUUUACUCAUUUUGAACGACACAGCUAUCUCCUUUUUUCUGCUAACAGGGAGCAGUUGAGCUUUCUUCCUCUGCUUUUCCUGCUGCUAAGGUUUGUCACUGUACCCUUGCUUCCAUUUGUGUCAGGCCUUCUCUAAGCAGGAACGACAUUCAUGGAGACUUAAAUUAAAUAAGUGGGUCAAAAUGAUAGCUACAGAAAGAUGAGAAAUUCAUAGGCCCUGAGGCCUUCACAGUUGUCACUGGGCUACACACCAUGGCUGCGUGGUACUUCACAGCAGCAGAGGGGAAUAGAAAACUCGGAUCUUCCUGGUUUAAAAGAACAGACCUUAUCACUUGAGGUAAAGGAAAAUCUCUCGGGGUGGUUAACAGGGUAGGACCUAUGCCACACAAUUAAGCUGUUCUGAGUCAAAUAUUUAAAAAAACAGGAAAAUGUGGUUGGAAAAGCAGGAAGGUUGUAAGAGAGAUUUGGAGGCAGGUAUAAGACCUCAGACAACAUUUAACUCAUUUCUUGAAACUGACUGUGUCCCUUUGUGAAACAAUAGUAAUAAUAUUGAGCUGUUUCUUUGCAUGCUAAUGAAAUUCCCUUCUAAAAAGUGUUGAGAGCAAUAUAAAGAGCAGAAGUAGUUGGGGGAAAUAUGCAUUGGGUUUUGAGCACUAAAGCAGCAUGGAGAAUAAAAAUAAACUUUCAUUUCAAGGUUUAAAAUCCUGUGUAGUUUUGUUAACUGUGGGCACAGAACAAUGAAAGAAAGAGAGGUCUCCUAUCAUAUAGUCUGCAUGUAACUAAUCUGUUUCUAUUUAAAAAAAAAAGAAAGAAAUUGUAAAGUUCAAUUAACGUCAAACUUUCAAAAACAAUCCCCCCAAAUGCCCACUACCCUCCCCCCCCCCCAAAACCAAACCUGAGUUAUGAUACCUGUUUAAGAAAACAAUGGGUUUUUUUUUCUUUCUCUAGGCUCUUGAUUUUAUUCACAGGU